UUUUUUUUCCAAAACUAACAGUCAUGUUUGGAAAAAUAAUUAAUGAAGGUAAGUUAGUAAAGUUGUCAUUACGUAAUUUAUAAUUUUUGAAAAUACUUACAAGUGUUUUUAACACUUAAAGUAAAUAAAUAUUAAAAUAUUGUGUUAAAAAAUUAUAUUUUUAAUUUUUAUUUUAACAUAAAAAAUUAGGUUAAUUGCUAUUUUAUCUCUGUGGGUGAAUUUUGAAAAAAAAGAUUAAUUUUUUUUAAAAUUUUCUCUAUGAUUUAUAAAGAUUCAUCAGUUUUACUCCUUAUUAAACAUAAUUAUUAAAAUAAAUGAUUAAAAUGAUAUGACAAAAUUUCAUUUUAUUUUUUAUUAAUGAUGUGGGUUGAAAAGUUGGUUUUUUUAACUUGAAAAUUUUAAAAGGUAAAAAGACUAAAAUUUUACAACCAAGAGAUAUAAACUAGAAUCACUCCCUUAAUGGCAACUAAAACCCGAUCAAGUUACUAGGGAGAAGAAGGAUUGUGUUAUGUUCAAAGUGGAUUUCGAAAAGGUCUACGAUUGCGUGAGUUGGGAUUUUUUGAGAUCUAUGACGAAGAGAAUGGGGUUUGGUAGUAUUUGGAUGAGUUGGAUGGAAGUUUACAUUAGUCAUUGUUGAUUUUGGUAAACGGGAGUCCGACGAAGGAUUUUAAGGUGGAGAGAGGCUUAAGGCAGGGAGAUCCUUUAUCUUCCUUCCUUUUUGUGAUAGUUGCUGAAUGGAUAUCAGAGUUAUUGAGAAUUGUUUCAGAUAGAGGUGAUUACAAAGGUUAUAGUGUGCAUGAUGGUUUAUCAAUAGAUUUAGUCCAAUUCCCGGACGAUACUCUUAUUGUGGGUGCUGAUUGUUGAAAGAAUUUAUGGAGUAUCAAAGCCAUCUUAAGGGAUUUUGAACUAGUUUCAGGAUUGAGAGUUAAUUAUCACAAGAGUAGGUUGAUUGGGAUCAAUGUCAGUAAUCAUUUUAUUCUUGUUACUUCUAAUUUUUUAGCUUGUAAGGUGAAGGAAUCAACUUUUAACUUCCUUGGGAUACCUAUUGGUUCAAAUCCGAGGAGGAUAAAAAUGUGGGCUUCCGUUAUCGAAAAGUUUAAAUCAAAGUUAACUUUGUGGAAAGGGAUAUUCCUUUCCUUUGAAUGGAGGAUUACUCUUAUCAAUUCGAUUAUGAGUAGCCUGGCCAUUUUCAUUUUCUCUUUUUAUAAAGCUCCAGUGAAAGUUUGAAAAAAAAUCGAUAAAAUCCGGCAGAGAUUUCUUUGGAGAGGAACAAAGGAGGAAUCAAAGAUUCAUUGGGUUAAAUUGGAUCUAGUGUGCAAAGCUAAAGAAUUUGGAGGUCUUGGUAUCAAGAGCAUUAAGGAGUUCAACUUACCUUUUUUGUCUAAAUGGAAGUGGAGGAUUUUAGUUGAGAAGGAUGUCAUGUGAAAGAAGAUUAUUAAGGCAAAAUAUGGUAAUUGCAAGCACCAAAUUCUAACGAAUAUUUGUUGCAACUACAAAAUUUCCUUAUCUACUUUGUAGAAGGAUAUGAAAAAUCUAGGAGCUUUAUCUACUAAUUUGGGUUUUGACUUUGUAGGUUCAGUUUUUUACAAAAUUGGCGACAAAUUUCAAACCCCUUUCCGGUCUGUCAAUUGGUGUGGUGAUACUCCAAUGGCAUAAUUAUUUCUGGAUCUGUUUGUGCCCAAUAAUGAUAAAUUGGCUUUUGUGAUUGAAAUGGGAAGAUGGUCUAAUGUUGUUUGGUGUUGGGGGAUUAUGGGAUUCAGCAGUAGGACAGUGGCACGACAGAGAGCAGAGUGAAUCAACUCAUGAUUAUUUAGUUGUUGUUCUUGUUACCGACGUUGUGGAUAUAUUGGUUUGGGGAAAGGUUGAUCCCUACCACUUUUCUGCUAGUCUCAAAUAUAAAGGAUUUAUGGAGGCUAAGGAACCAGUUAACAUGGAGGAGGAUCAGAGUAAGGCAUUUCGUACCCUUUGGAAUUCGACGGUUCCGACAAAUAUUAAAGCUUUUGUUGGAAGAUUUUCUUGAACCGUUUGGCCACUAAAGAUCAAUUGAAUAAACGAGGUUUAUGCCUUAUGAAUCAUGAUGCUCUUUGUGUUUUGUGUCUCUAAUCGGAGGAAUAUUUUAACCAUCUUUUCUUUGAAUGUUCGGUAUCGAAAAAAGUGUGAGAGCUUGUAGGAUUAUGGAUCGGUUACUCUUUGAGUUAUGUUGGUCCUUCUUGGAAGCAAUUCUUUUCGAGGAGUAGGUUCUAUAAAACUAUUUCUAAUAAGGGUAAAUUUGAAAGCAUAUGGUCGGCGGUUGUUUGGGGAUUGUGGAAUUCUAAAAACAAUAUAUUAUUUAACAAAGUAAGAUGCAAUUUGAAUGAUAUUAUUUGGUAUAUUAAAUUUUUAGUUUGGAGAUGGUCGAUAGUGGGAAAUAUUUUGUAUUCCAAUGUUAAUUUUCAAGAUAUUUGCAUGACUCUUCUAUAUUGUUUGUCUUAGUUGUUGUUGGUGAGGAUUUUCUCCUUAGUUUGUAAUGGAUUAGAGUACCCCUAAAAAUCCUCUAUUUCAAUUAACAUAGAAGAAAAAAACUCCCUCAAUGACACAUUAAGUUACAACUAGACUAGAUAAUUUGCAUUAUCGCUCACAAAAUAUAUUUAUUAUAUAUUUUGUUUAUCAUAUUAGAAUAAAUAUAUUUUAAAUAUUUUAAUUAUACUUUUAUUACAAUCAUUUAUAUUUUUUAUUUGAAUAAUAUUAAUUAAUUAAACAAUAUUUAUUUAAAAAAUAUAUAUUACAUAAGUAUUGUUUUAAAAUUAAUUACUUGAAUAAUAAUUUAUAAAAAAAAUGUAUAUUUAAAAGCCCUAAAUAUUAUAGAAAAUUAAAUAUUACUAAAAAGAAUAAAAAAAAUUUAAAAUCUCAAAGAUAUAAUAUACCUAUGUUAUGAGAAAUCUUAAACAUCUAUUCUACUAAUUGUGUUAAAUAUAAAAUAAUUUAAUUCUUCUAACUAUAAAGUAAAAUACAAACAACUAAUUUUAAUUGGUGACAAAUAAUUUAUCGACAUUUAUAAAUAAAAAAUUUAUGGGAAAUGGUCAAUUGUCAUUGUUGUUGUGGAAUAGAGAAAAUAUUAAUUCUUUAAUAUAGAUUCCAUGGUGACCGACCGCUGGUUUUCUUUAUAUUAACAUCAAAUGAACAAAGUAAACGCAAAACCCAUCUCAAUAAAAUAAUAUUUGAAUUAUCUCUCACUCUCUCUACCUCUUAUAUAAGCUCUUAUUUUUUAUUGAAAAAUAAAAGAACAUUACCCUCUUCAUUUAGGCUCUUUUGAGAUUGUGAAAUCAUUGUUAAUGGAAAAUUCAGAUACUAUUAGUUUGAUUCAUGGGAAUGAAGACAAACUUCUUAUACAAUUGGAAGUCAUUAUUGAGGAGAUGAAAAGUGCCAAACCAUGGAAGAAGAUUAGUGAUGAUGGAUCUAUAUUGCACUUGUGUGUUAGGCAUAAUCAUUUUGAGGCUUUGAAAUUCAUAGUGCAAUCAGUGAGUGGAGUCAAAGACCUAUUGCAUGUUCAAGACAAAGAGGGUAACACCAUUCUUCAUUGGGCAGUUAACCUCAAGCAAAUUCAGGUAUUCAAAUUGAAAAUUUAGUUUUGUUUAAUAAUUUUUGAUAUUUUAGUCACUUUGUAAAGAGAUUGAUGAACCAUUUUUUUAGACCUUUUCUUUUUAUAUUAACAUUAUUUAUUUAUUUACAUAUGAAUGAAUAUGAUUAUUAAUAAAUUGAGACCAAUUCUACCUAAACUAAAUAUUGGUAUAAAUAUGUAAGAUGAAGACUUUUGAGGAGUCCUACCCACUUUUCUAAUUUAAUAGAAUGGAAAAAUUGUGAGGGAAGAAGAGAGUCUAUUUACGGCUGUCAACAUUUUUUGAAAAUGAAUUUUAUAGUAUUAAUUAUAUAUUUCUGUUUCAAUUAAAAUUUAUAAAUAUUUUUAAAUUUAUUUUUUUAAUAAAUAUUGGUUCAAACAAUUUUUUAUAAAAUAUUAUUUUGAUAUUUGAUCAUUUUAUAAUGAUUUUUUUAUAUCAAAAUUUCAGAAAUCACUUAAAUUUAAAUUUAUUUUAAAGGACUUUUUAUAAAGAUACAUCCAAUUGGAGAAAUGCUAAACAUAUAUAAAGGUUUUAAAGAUACAACAAAGGAAUUCAAUUAAGCACACUAAGUAUUAGAAUUACUUAGAAUUAGAAUGAAUAUCCAAAGAACAAAGAUAGAACAUAACAAAAAUAAGAAAGGCAACGAAAGUCAAAAUUCAAUUAAACAAACCAAAAGUAGAAAACCGAAGCAAGAUAUCUCAAGAGGGGAAGCCAAUAUCUACAUAAAAGUAUCAUAUAGGUUCACCACUAAGAGCUCUCCUCUACAAGGUGAAAGAGGUUUACCUUUAUAUUGGCUCAAACAAAUAAUAAGGUUCUUAAACCAGACAAAAAAAAGUACAAGAGUUUCUCGUAGACAUACUAACAUAUAAUUUCAUGCUAAGAAGAUGAUAUCUUCCACAUCCUUCACGCUGACACAGAAAUCUAAAAACACGAUAUCAUUUUAGAAUUCUCAUAGCGAUCAAGUCAGACUAUAGACAAACCACACUCACCUUAAACCUACUUCCCAACGAUCUAAAGACCAUAACAAUCACGGUUAGAUCCAUAGGAGGAAUGAAGUACUUCCCAAACCAUCUAAAAAUAAUAUACUAAACAGACGCUGCCAAAUGACAGGCAAACAAAUGGAUAUCCGACUAUGUCAUCCCUCUACACAGUGGGCGAGAAACACUCUUAGGAUCCACUAGAACCCUACGUUUAAAAAGGUUAUCUUUAGUAGGGAGCUUCUCUUGAAAAAGUUUCCAGGAGAAAACAACCACUUUAGUGAGAACCUAACUAUCCUAGAUAAAAGAAAGAACCAAAUUCACAGGAUUGACCAGAAGAACACUAGGCAAGUCACACUCAAGGAAACCUAAGUAAGGCGAGACAAUAGAUAACACAUCAUUCUUUUAAUGCGAUCACCACCACCAAUUUAGAUUCGGGGAAAGAGUUACACCCUGAAUAACUAUCAACAUAUUAGAGAUCAUUUCUUUGUGGUAAAUGAAAGGGAUCUCUUCCAUUUCAAGUCCCAAAUCAAAUUUGCAUUCUUAUACACUCAUAUCUAACCAACAUACCAAUCUUUCUUAUCAAAGAUAAUAAAGAAUCUACAGACCCAACCCCUUAUCCUUUCAAAAGAAGGUGGGGAGGUCUGAUCCCACUUUCUUACUAAGAUUUACCCUAAACCAAUAGGAAGAAUCAGAGACACACAUUUUUCCCACGAAGAAGCGGAACAUAAGCCAACAAACAUAUCACCUAAAGGUAAGGAAAAAAUAUGGGCACCAUAUUUGGUGAAUAGGUUAUCGCACCAGAGACUAGAAACGUCCGAGAUAAGCUAUUCAUCUCCACUUAACAAAAAUGUCCAGGUUAACUAAACACAAAUCUCAUACUCCCAAACCAUUCCCAUGACUUUAGAUAGACUUGAGACGAGGGUUGACCCACACCGGUAAUCUUAGGUACUUGAAGGGAAUGGUCUCUUAGAAAUAAUGCACAUAAUAUUAAUUAGAUAGCAUAAUUGAGAAAUACUAGUGAUUACUUAGAUACAUGUUGAUAUUGCACUUUUAGUAAAAGAUUAAUUCAUAUAACAUUUGUUUCGGUUUCUAAUUGUCAUUUGUUUUUCCUUAACUCUUCACAGACCAUAAAGUUCUUGCUUUCACUUCCUGAAAUGAGAGAAGCAGCAAUGACUUUGAAUAAUAGAGGUCUCACACCUUUGGAUAUAAUGAACAGUUCUUCAACAGAUAUCAUUGACAUUGCAAUCCAAUACAUUUUAAUGGAAUCGGGAGUCCAAAAAACUUGCACAAAUGCACAUUCUAGUAAUUCUCAUGAAUCAAAUCAAUCACAACAACCCAAUAGUAAAACAAAAAAUUUGAAGAAUUUCUGGUCAAAGUAUCUACAACACCAAGGUAAUUGGAUAGAAGAAACACGUGGCACAUUGAUGAUUGUAGCAACUGUAAUUGCAACCAUGACAUUUCAAUCAGCAUUAAAUCCCCCAGGUGGAGUAUGGCAAGAGAAUACACAUGGUGGUGCAUACACAUGCACAACUUAUGGUAUUUGCAGAGCUGGAACUGCAAUUAUUGGUUAUGAUUCGGCAAAAGAUUAUGUUAUAUUUAUGUCUUUUAAUACUAUCUCUUUUUUUGCUUCUCUUUGUGUUGUGUUGAUUCUCAUUUGUGGUUUUCCACUUCAGAAUAAGGUCAUAAUGUGGAUGUUAACUAUUGCAAUGAUUGUUGCAGUUACAUUUAUGUUGCUAACGUAUAUGUGGGCCAUUGGGUUCGUGACACCUGAUCAUAUUUAUUAUAAUGCUUAUAGAUUAGGGUUUUUUUUAGGUGGUGCUUGGGGUGUUAUACUUCUUGUUCUUGCUUUGAUUCAAAUUGUAAGGUUUGUUUUCUGGAUAAAGGAGAGGAAGAAACAGAAGAUGCACAUGUAAGAAAAACUUCACAAUGUAACCAUAACAAAUAACUAUAUACUAGAAAUGGAUGUGUUGUAUCUCUUCUAUCAUAGAAUGAGUUAUUGUAUUUCAUUUACUAAGUUUAUUUUGUAUUUCUCUUAAAAUUUAGGUCGAUGUAAAUUAGUUACCUUCGAUUAUAAGUAUAUGUCAAUAUCAUUUUUCAUUUAGUUUGAAACUUUAAACAUGCGUAAUCACACUAAAGACUGGAGAUCUAGAUUAUAACAAGAGUGACUGUUAUUGGAAAUCUAAUGGCAGGUGGUGAUUCAAUUAAUUUUAGAUAGAAUUUAAUAUCAUUUAAAAUUUUGGAUUAAAUUAUUUUAAUCUUAUAAAAUCAAAUUGUAAGAUGAGAUUUAUCUUCCCUUAUAACUAUAUAUGUUAAGACCGACUCUCAAACAUUUUAGGACUAACACACCCUCUAUGAUUGUGCAUUUGGAACCUGAUAAAGAAAGUGUGUGUGUGAAAAUUGAUAACAUAUAUGUUCUAAUAGAUUUUAAAUUGAUUCUCGGAUAUUAUCUUAAAAAAUUUAAUUGUCCUUAAUUCAAAUUUAUAAAAAAUUCUGCUAAUAAGGUUAUUAAUAUGUGAUUCUUAACAAUUUGUUUAAAAGAAUUCCAAAAAAUAUAACACAUACAAUUUCUUUUUAAAAACUAGUUGGUUGACUCAUGCGAUGCACAAUUUACUAAGUUAAAUACAAAUAUUACUAAUAUAUCAUUGUAAAAAAAAUAUAUCAUUGUAAUAAUAUUGUAACUUCUUUAGUAAGUUUAUUUAAAAUUAUGUAAAAUCUGGAAAAUGUCCAUAGACAACAUAAAUAUAAGGCUAUGAAAAAUCUUUAAAUAAAAAGUAAAUUAAUAUAAAAUAUAUUUUAUGAUUGAAAAUAAGUUAAAGGUUAAUAGAUUCUGUUGAUCCAUAUAAAUUCGUGUGUUUUUUAUUUUGAUUCCUGUAAUUUAAUUAUUUUGGUUAAGUUUUUAUAUCUCAUAUUUUGUGUUGGUUUUAGUUCCUAAAAUCAAAAUCCACAGGAAAAUUCGGAGAUUUCCUGUAGAUUUUAUCUUUAUAGACUAAAACCAACAUAAAAAUUAGAUAUAAGGAUUUAGACACAAAAAAAUACAAAAACAAAAAAAAACUCGCUAAUUUACAUAGAUCAAAAAACUAUUUAAAUCUAAAUUAAAUUAAAUUACAUUUAACAUAUCAAUAAAAAUAGUUACCUGUAAAAAGAGUACAUUGAAAUAUAAAUUAUAUUUAUGGAAUGUAAAGUUUUUCUAAUAACAAAUAUAUAUAUUGAUAAAAUAAAGAUAGAGUCACGUAUACAAGGCACGAGAAGAAAGACGUAAAAAUAAUGAGUUAAACAAUUGGCAUAUUUUGCCGAAUAAUCCAACCAAAGAAAAAGAAAAUAAAAAUUAAAAACAAGGGUCACCAACAACACACUAAGGAAAUAAAAAAUCUGACGACUUUGACAAUGCUAGCGGAAACUAAGUUAGAGACCAGGAAGAAGAAUCACCAUCAACAAAACAACUUCCAAAAACACUUUAACACUACAAUCCCAAGAGAACAUGGUGAUACUUUCAUAAUCACUUUUAUUUUAAGUAGAGUAUAGGAUUAGCAAAUCAAUUAGAAAAACUAUAAGAAUAAGUCGAUGAUCUAUCAAGAUAUCAUUUUUAGACUAGAUAAAUACUUAAAUCUUUCAUGUCCUCCUUUUUAAGCAAUUUACAUAUAAAAAUGAAAUCAUUAUGGAAUUUAUAGAUAGUACAUGUCACUUUGUGCCAAAUCAUGGUAAACUCCCCUCUGAUCCUAGCCUACCCCCUAAGAAAAAUAUUCAAAUAGAAAAAUAAUAUCUUUCAACAAGAAAAAUAACCUCCCAAACCACCAAAUUAUCUUAGAUCACAUGUUUUCCCCCCGCACUACAAAUAACAAAUAAAUGAGACACAUACUUUAUUGGCCAAAUACAUAGUCCACACAAAAUACAAUAAGGAUCUAGAAUAACUCUUCUUUUAAAUAGAUUCUCUGUCCAAUAACACACUAUAAGAAAAAGACUUUUCACCUCGGUUGGGAAAUGGACUUAACCUCGGUUUGGUGUCUGAGGUAUCGUAUGAUGUAAUGGAAAGUGCGUAAAUUUUCACCUCGGACUACUAACUGAGGCAAAAAAUUGGAAGUGUGUCACUAUUCCAAUUGUGCUUCUUCGAUUUAAUUUGGAUCAUUGUUUCAAAUUAAUCAAUGAUUCAUGUUAUCUAUCCCCACUUAUUCCCAUGCAAUCAAAAAAUAGAAUUUAAAUAUAUUAAUUAAUCAAGAAAGUCAGAAAAAUAAAUAUAUCUUGAUCCCCUCGCAACAAUGAACGCAGACCGGCUAACAAUGUUCUCCACUCACUUUUUUUGUUUUCACAAAAAUCAACUAUCUUCAAUAAGGAGAGGACACGCGCCCCACUCAGAAAAACAUCCCCAAUAAUAACUCUCUCUUUUCAUUUUACAGCGAAAAAACCACAACCCUUUGCUCAGACCACCAUGUAAAAGCACCUCAAUCAUGCCUUCUCCUUCAACCCAAAUCACCAUCACCACAGUUAAUUUACUUUGGUUUGGUGCUCACACCACUUCUUUAUUGUGAUUUUUAGUUUUUGUUCCCUGUUGGCUUAUUAGAACUGAGAGGAAUGAAGAAAAUGUAUGUGUAUUUUUCUUCAAAUGUCAAAACGUGGUUUGAAAACUAAGAGGGAGAAAGACAUUGUGGUUCAUUGUGUUUUCUCCCCUCUAUAUGCAUGACACGUGUCAGGUUGGGGUUGGAGGAUUUUUUUGAAUUUUAAAAACUUUCUUUUUCUUUUUUCCAAUAUUCAGCGCCUCUCAUUUUUUGUAUUUACUAAGUCUUUUCUGUUAUUUAUUUUUGUUUAUUAUUAUGGGUAUUAAGGUUAACUUAUUUUUAUGCCCAUUGGGUCUAAUUGUUCAUACCUCAUAUUCAUUCUUGGUAUCCUUAUUAGUUUUUUUUGCUUUUUUUAUUAAUAUGAUUAAAUUUUAGUUAAUAAAUUGUUUAAUUAAAUUAACUAACUAUUUUAUUUCUUGUCAUUUGUGUUGUGAUUUCUGGAGCUUAAAUUCAAUUUACCUUUUGAAAAUCACUUAAACGCAUAGAUUUUAUUAACCGACCUCAGAUAGAGUGAUUCCUACAUAAAUCACUUUACGAUUGCUUAACAUAGCGCUAAAUUCAGUUUGCUUUCGAUUUCGGUUGGUUUCCGGUCUCGUAGUUUUCUCUUUGGCCUUCUUACAAAGAGAUCUUUUUAUUUUAUACACUUUACGAUUGCUUAACAUAGCGCUAAAUUCAGUUUGCUUUCGAUUUCGGUUGGUUUCCGGUCUCGUAGUUUUCUCUUUGGCCUUCUUACAAUGAGAUCUUUUUAUUUUAUACUGGCUUACUCUUGGGCCUUCUUACAAUGCGAUUUUAAUUUUACAUAUACUUUUUCAAUGGUCUUGUGUCUUAAUUGCCCCUUUUUGAUUGCUUUGUUAUCUUAGUUAACUUUUAACUUAAGAUUAAUAUUAACCAUCUUUCAAAAAGAACAAAAAUAAACACUCGAUCCAACGUCGAAUAAUUUUUCCAAAUUAAAACCAUUUCCAUUAUCUCAAUUUCUUAAUCAUUUUCGAUAUGCGGAAAUCUUAGCCUAACGCCAAGUGGAUUCUUUUUCUCAAAUCAUUAUGUUUCUAUUCAAAUUCAAACCUCUUCCUCAAUUAACCACAAUUACAAUUUAAGCCAAUUUCAUUAUCGACUUCAAACCAUUUCAAAAUCUCAUUUAAAUUCAAACCUUUCAAACUCUUUUUACAACAACUUGGAAGAAAAAGGAUGGAUUGGGUAUCGACCUUUCUCCUUCCCCGGGUGUUUGGACAUUGUUGUAGAGCUCCAUGUAUGAAUGCUCGUCUUUCGUAUUAAAAUACAAUAAUCAAAUUGAAUUAUAUUGGUUCUCUUAUAAAAGGAAAAUGAUUGAUUGGGUUUAAACCUUCCUCGGUCUCUGAUUAUUUGGACACUCCUGUAGAGCUCCAUGUGCGGCUAAUUAUCUUUCGUUGACGAACCGUGACUGAAAUUAACCACACAUCCUUCGUAAUAAUUAAGAAGAAAAAAGAUUGAUUGGGUUUAGACUUUCCUCAGUCUCCGAUUAUUUGGACACUCUUGUAGAGCUCCCUGUUCAAAUACUCGUAUUCCAACUCUAAGACCUCAAAACAAAUCAAAGCUAACUUUUCGCCCUCAUGCGAUCAACAACUCCUUUUUGCAAACGAACAUUCUUUAAUCUUUUCUAAUGCAUAUACAAACUAGCGCUUAAGUCUCCCCCGUGAGUAUGCAAGACCAUGUUUAACCAUUAGAAUGUGAUCUAAGCACUUGUUCAUUAAAAUAAACCAAUCAACCUAUCUUUUCUCUCGCCCCCGUGCAAUUGAAAACUCUUUUCAAAUGGAAAUUGUUUAGUCCUUUCUAACGCGUUUACAAACAAGCGUUUAAGCCUCCAAUGUGCGAGCAUACAGCUAAAUGUUUAAACUGCUAGAACGCGAUCAAACAUAAUCCCUUCUACUGCAAAAUAGGAAAACACAGUCUCCCAUCCGCGAGCAAAUAAGCCAAUGUUUAACCCUUAGAAACGUGAACUGAACACGUGUUCAUUAAAAAACACAAAAAAACAAACUAUAUCCUUCCCUUUAACUAUGAAACUUUGUGUUCCUCGUUGUACCCUAAGAUACUUAGGAGCGAGACCCGCAAUCUCGUCAAGCACCCUAAUAAAAACAUUUGUACGAACCUUUUUCUUUUCUUUUUACACUUUCAAUAAUUCAAAGAAAAUAAUUCACGUAAGCUAACAUUCAAUCUCAAGUUUAAAUAAAAGGUUCUCAUUGAGUACAACGAGCGUGAGGGGUGUUAAUACCUUCCCCUUGUGCAAUCGACUCCCGGACCCGAAUAUGGUUGCAAUGACCAUCUCCUUUCAAAGGUAUUAUCGAUAUUUUCCCUUUCCCUCAUUGGAAUAAAUAAAGUUUGGUGGAGACUCUGUUCGAAUCAUUUUUCUGGGACUUUGUGAAUGAUCGUAUUUUUCAAGAUGCAACACUGCAGAAUAACAUCAAUAGAAGGUCGAUGGAAAAGAUUCUUUGGGGAACUGCCAGACGGUGUUGAACUUUAAAAGACAGAAUUCUAGACGGCGUAAGACUUUAAAAUACAUAAUUCUUGGUGAGAUUGGACUUUAAAAUGAAAUGCUAGAUGUGACUGGAUUUGACUGUAGCCAUCAGUAAAAUAUAUAUCGGAUUCAAACAGAGUUUACCAGGAGGCACUGGACUUUACCCUAGGCAUUAGUAAAAACAUAUAUCGUCUUCAAACGGAGUUUUCCAGACGAGGCUGGACUUGACCGUAGGCAUCAUUAAAAUAUAUAUCAGCUUCAAACAUAGUUUUCCAGGAGAGGCUAGACUUGACCGUAGGAAUCAGUAAAAUAUAUAUCGGAUUCAAAUGGAGUUUGCCAGACAAGGCUGGACUUUUAAAGGCUGCAAAAACUAAAAUAUGGUUUAAGGGCGCGAAAUCGAAAUUGGACUUUAAGGUCAAGGGAUAUAGGAUCAACCAAAGAGAUCAGGGUCAAUGCAAAAUGAGCACCAAAUACACUUUGGUUAUGCAUGAUUUCAAUUUGCUUAUAUGCAUGGUAUAUGAAUGAUCAUGAUAUGCAAAAGUUGACUCUAUGUAGACUGGUAGUUUAUGGAAGUUUUGAUUCCUCAACACCAAGGACUCAACCAUGUAUUUUCUGUGAUAGAUGCUUUCAAAGGAGAAUUCUAUCAAGCUUGACAGUUAUAACUAUCAAAGGUCCUUUUGGAGGAUUGACAAGUCGUGCUAGCAUGAUUUUCUGACACUCAUUCCUAACUCAACAGUUCCUUAUGCAUUGUAGGACUUUUACUUUAGCUGCUUGAAAGUCUAAAGAGGGUUUGCCCAUUUGUGGCUCAUAUUGCCCCAGUCUGGUAAGUCUUUGAAGAAAAUUUACCUCGAAAGGAGUUUGGAAGCAUCUUGUCGUGAAAUGACCUCGAGAUGGCUUUCCCUAGUGUUUUAAACUUACGGUGGUCUUCCCCCUGAUUAACCAAUUCUUGAAUGGUAGACAUCAAAUUGACCGACCUUUGGAGGUUUUGAACCUCUUGAAUAUGAAUUUCUUGUAUUAUUAUGUAGAGAAGAAUACACAUAUAUAUAGGUCUAAGCCUCCUAAUUAAACCUACUAAUUAAGGAAAGAUUUAAUACAAUAAUAUCCUAAAUAAUAUCCUAAUUGAUACUACUAAUAAAAACAAUAGAUACGAAAUAGUAAUAAAACAAUAUUUCAACACUCCCCCUCAAGGUGGUGCAUAUACAUCAUUAUCAUCCAUCUUGUCACAUAUGUAUGUGAUAUGAGGUCUUCAAAGAGAUUUUGUAAAGAGGUAAGCAAGUUGAUCUUUGGAAUUAACAAAGAAGGUUUUGAUGGUUCCAGUGGUAAUCCUCUCUCUAAGAAAGUGACAGUCGACUUCUAUAUGCUUUGUCCUUUCACGAAAAACUGGAUUGGAGGAAAGGUGCAAAGUUGAUUGGUUGUCACAUACAAGUUCCAUAGGGCCGACUUCACAAAAGUAAAGUUCCUAUAGUAAAUGCUUUAACCACAAGAUCUCACAUGUGGCAUGGGCCAUAGUUCAAUACACAGCUUCUGUACUUGAUCGAGCAACGACCGUUUGGUUUUUGUUUUUCCAUGAGAUAGAAUUCCCCUAAUAAAAACACAAUAACCCAAUGUGGAUCGUCUAUCACUUGCAUCUCCUACCCAAUCAGUAUCUGAAUAUCCAAUUAUAUCAUUGUUGCCUCUAUCACAACAAACAAGCCCUUUUCCAGGUGAUCCUUUGAUAUACUUAAGGAUUCGAAUAAUUGUUUCCCAAUGGUUGUCACAAGGAAAAUUUAAGAAUUAACUUAUUACACUGGCCGAAAAAGAUAUAUCAGGUCUAGUCAAGGUAAGAUAAUUCAACUUACCUAUAAGUCUUCGAUAUCUUCCUGGAUCAGUAUAUGGCUCCUCCUGAUUAGGGAGAAGCUUUAGAUUAGGAUCCAUAGGAGUGUCAACUAGUUUGCAAUCUAUAAGACAUGUUUCUUCCAAAAUAUCAAGAUCAUACUUCCUUUGAGAGAUAACAAUAACUGACUUUGACUGAGCUACCUCAAUUUCUAGAAAGUAACGAAGAGGACCCAAAUCCUUAGUCUGAAAAUUCUGAAAUAAGUGUUGUUUUAAAGCCUUGAUACCCUUAAAAUCAUCACCUAUAAUUACAAUGUCGUCAACAUAAACCACUAGAUAAAUAUAUUUAUUGGAAGAGCAUUUGGUAAAAACAGAGUGAUCUGAUUCACACUGGUUCAUCCUAAAUUGUUGCAACACUUUACUAAAUCUUCCAAACCAUGCCUGAGGUGAUUGUUUCAAGCCAUACAAAAACUUGUGUAAUUUACAUACCCGAUUACACUCCCCCUGAGCAACAAACCCGAGAGGUUGCUUCAUGUAAAUCUCCUCUUCCAAGUCACAAUGCAAAAAUGCAUUAUUGAUAUCCAAUUGAAAUAGAGGCCAUUGUUUCAUGGAAGACAUGGCUAGAAAGAAGCGAACAUAUGCCAUCUUCGUAACAAGGGAGAAAGUAUCACUAUAAUCUUGAUCGGGGACUUGAGCGUAUCCUUUUUCCACUAAGCGAGCUUCAAAACGAUCUACCUGUCCAUCAGGACCAUCCUUAACAUUACAUAUCCACCUACAUCCAACAACAAAUUUUCCAGGUGGGAGAGGAACAAGCUCCCAAGUAUGAUUAGAUUCUAAAGCUGACAUUUCAUCAAAUAUUGCAUGUCUCCACCCUAGAUGGGAUAAAGCUUCAUGAAUAGUUUUAGGAAUAGAUGCAAGUACAGUAACAAACUCACAAUAGGUGGGAGAUAACCGAUGAUAAUACACACAAUUAUAAAUAGGAUAAGGAUUACGGGUUUAACGGUUACCUUUACGUAUGGCAAUAGGCAUGUCAGGAGACGGGGCCGAAGCAGGGGUGGAGGCGCUUGGAAUAAGAGUUGAAUCAUAUGAUCUCAACCUUCUCUCAUAAAUAAUGGCAUGCCGGUUCAAAAAAGGUGGAGACUCGUCUAUCACAAUGGAUGGACUAGAAGAUAAGUGAUUAGACUCAACCGACUCAAAAUAAGGAAUGUGCAAAACUUGAUCUAAAUUAGUUUCAGGGACACCUUAGUUGAAAAAGUAUGGUAUGUCCUCAAAGAAUGUAACAUCUGCAGACGUGUAUAAACGAUGUGUAGAAUGAGAGUAACAACGAUAUCCCUUUUGGACACGGGAGUAGCCCAGAAAAACACAUUUAAUGCCACGAGCAGACAUUUUAUCAUGACCUGGGGAAAAUCAUGAAAAAAAUAAGUACAUCCAAAGACACGAGAGGAAACACCAUAUAAGGGAUCUGUAGGACGCACCAGGGAAUGAGGAACCUGAUCAUUCAACAAAGAGGAUGGCAUUCAGUUAAUUAAAUACCCGGCAGUAAGAAUAACAUCACCCAAAAACUUUAGAGGUAAAUUGGCAUUUGGCAAAAGGGUACAAGCAGUGUCAACAAUAUGUUUAUGUUUUCUUUCAGCAACACCAUUUUGUUGAGGCAUAUGGGGACAAAUCGAUUGAUGUAUGAUGCAUUUGGAAUGCAUGAAAGAGUUGAAAUGAUCAGUAAAAUAUUAUUUUGCAUUGUCAUUGCGUAAAAUGCGAAUUGUUUUACCAAACUAUGUCGAGAUUUCAGAACAGAAAUUCUUAAAAAUAUUAAACAACUCAGAACGAUCUUUCAUUAAAAACAUCCAAGUACAUAUUGAGAAAAUCAUCAAUAAAAGUAACAUAACACCUAUACAUUGGGAUAGAAGGAAUCUGACUAGGACUCCACACAUCGAAAUGAACGACAUCAAAAAGAGACAAAGAUUUGUUAUUAAUGCAUUGGGAAAAAGAACUCUAACAAUUUUUCCUAACUGACACGACUCGCAUUGUAAGGACUCUAAAUGAGGAAGAGUUGACACCAUUUUCUUCAAUUUUGAUAAACUCAGAUGACCUAAGCGACGAUGCAGAAGAUCAGGAGAUUAAGUAGUAGCACAUAUAGCGGAAAUGGGUGGUUGAAGAUAAUAAAGACCACUAGAUUCAAUUCUGACUCCAAUGGUUUGUCUCGUACUCAAGUUUUGUAUCAAAAAGGAAUCAGAAGUAAAUGUUAUGAUACAGUUUAAAGAGUUAGUUAAUUUUCUUAUACAAAUCAAAUUGAAAGGGAAUUUAGGAAUCAAUAAAACAUAUCUCAAAGAGAGUGAGGGAAUAUGUGAUACUCGUCCAACACCAAUUGCCUCAACUUUAGAUCCAUCCACAACAGUAAUAUAGUAUGGAUAUUUAGGUGGUGAUAAUUCAAGGAAAAGUGAGGCAUUACCGGUCACAUGGUCUUAAGCAAUGGAAUCUAUAACCCAUCCAAUUGAAGUAGCAUAAGAAAUACAAACCACAAAAUUACUUGUACGAACAAUAGUAGCCAAGGAGAUGGCUUGUUGUGCUGCCUUCAAUCGCAAAUACUCCUUAUACUUAUCGGUAGAGAAAGUAGUUUUGAGUUCAUCCUUUGAUUCAUGGUUUGUAGUGGUUUGAGCAACAUUAGCAGUCUUGUUCAGGUAGCCAUGUAAUUCAAAGCAUCGAUCUUGAGUCUUCCCAUCUUUCCUACAAUAAAUGCAAUAGAAGUUACUUCUACCUCCUCUACCACGUCCUCGGCCACGGCCACGUCCUCCAUUACUAAACCCAGAAACAAGAGCAGAGGACCUAGGAGUAGUAUGAGUAUCAUCACUUGAUAGAGAUACUUAGACGAGAGGAUCAAUUAGUUCUUCUACCGUAGGGAUGGUAAUAUUUGUUAAAGUCUGGUCUUUAACCGAACUAUAUUCUUUACAGAGGCCAUGGAGGACAAACACCAUGAACAUAUUGUCAAGCUUGCCCAAUAUCUUCGUAAUAUCAUCACUAAACAGCAUAAGUUUGAGGCCAUCAGUAGUAGAUUGAGCAUGGGUGAGAUAUUCUGACAAGUCUUGAUCAUUCAUUUGAAAAGUAGCCAAAUUGCGGACCCAUGCAUACAUUCUUUGAAUAUCGUUAUCAUAAAGGUUUUUAGCCAUCUAGCAAACCUCAUAACAUGAUAUAUACGCACGAAAGUGUGCCAUCAGAUUUGGUUCAAUAGAAUUCCACAACAAUGAUACAAGUUGACAACUAGCGACUUCACAAUCAUCUUUUAUCUCUUUAUCAAUUUCAUAAACCUCUUUAGUAAGAUGGUCUGACAGACGUUGUCCUAAAAACCAUAACUCAACUGAAGCAUAAAAAUUCAAAUAGUUCUUAUAACCAUUUAAUUUAGCCAUGGUAAUAACGGGUGUUCCUUAAAAUGCAAACGAAAUAAGACUCUUUUGGGGAGGAUUCUUCUCAACAACGCCAUUCUUUGGGCUUGGAAUUUCAGUCAUGAUUUCAACACCACCAACUAAAGAACUCUAGAUCGGAGAAGCAACACAUAAGAAAAAAUAGGGUUGUGAACCAAGAAAAAGCUAGGGUUUUGAACCAAGAAAAAAUAGGGUUUUGAAUCAAGCUCUAGAUACCAUCUUGAAUCUGAAUUUCUUGUAUUAUUAUAUGGAGAAUAUAUAUAUAUAUAUAUAUAUAAGUCUCAUAAUCAACCCUACUAAUUAAGGAAAGAUUUAAUACAAUAAUAUCCUCAAAUUCAGAAAAAGGCAGUCGCAAACCUACCCUAGUGAACACACACUCAUAGAAGGGAACCAAACAACCGUUGAAGGAAUUACAUGUCUUUUUUCUAAAUCCAUGGGAAGGACCGGUCAAUCUGACGGAUCACUGACUACGAUGUCGGCCGCAUCUAUGGCUGCUUUGGUAUUUAAAAUAGACGGGGUCCAUACCACUUGUGCAGCAACCAGUCUAUAGUUACUCGCGUCGUUCGGCUCCAUCCAUUCCACCCAUUUCAGUGAUAGCUUAUCAACUUUAAAAUUCUUCCUAUAACGCCUCAUACUCUUUUCAGGAUUAUCGACUGACCGCACAAAUCAACACGAGUCUUUUUAUCAUGAUUUGUCCUCACUCGCACGCUUUCUGAGAAACUUCCCAAAAGGUCACACAUCCAAAUACUACCCCGACUCAAGCACGUUUAACUAUGGAAUUCUUUAUUGUUAGCCUACCGAAAAAGAAGAUGCAUCUUGUUGGUAUAGUUAGUACCAAUCAAUCCUUAUAAGUCUUCAUUCAACCAUGUAGUCCCAUACCUGCAUAGCCUCAGGAUCCCUCUCAUUCUUAUGUGAAUUCGGUUUUUGCCUUGAAGUUUCCAUGAGUUGCUAAUUGUCAUGCUUUGUGCAUCGGCGACCACUCCCCUCCCUCGUCGACCUUGGGUGUUACAUGUCCACCAGCUUUUGCUUGGUUCAUCCUGAAACCACAUCAUGCUGAGAGAGGUCUGCAAUGAUAUCAUUUUUAAUGCUCCAUAUUACUUUUAGGAUUACCGAUUGACUCCACAAACAACACGGAUCUUUUCAGCAUGUUUUGUCCUCACUCACACGCUUUCUGAGAAACUUCUCAGAAUGUCACCCAUCCAAAUACGACUCCAAUUCAAAUACGUUUUACUAUGGAGUUCUUAUUUGUUAAGAUACCAAAAAGAAGAUGCAUUUUGUUGGUAUAUGUAGUACCAAUCAAUCCUUAUAAUCCUUCUUUCAACCAUGCAGUCACAUACUCGCACAUCCUCAGUAUCCCUCUUAUUCUGAUGUUAAUUCGGUUUUUGCCUAGAAGUUGUCAGGAGCCUGACAUUGUCAUGACUUGUGCACCGGAGACCAUUCUCUAUCCUCUUCGACCUCAAGUGUUAUGCUCUCCAUGCUUGAGCCAAGAAACUACAUCUGAUUUAACCUUCUGCUCCAUAUGGGUCUUGAUUUCAACAUCAUUGGGGUUGUGAUUGUAAAUUCUCUGGUAAACUUGAAUGAAAUCCCCAAUGUGUUCUCUCCUCAACUUAGCGGCGUGCAUUUACGAAGUAGACAAAACGGGAGGGGCAUAGGAACAUUUGUAUGACCAUCUUCAAUGUCAUCAUUUGACAAGAGGGCAUCGAAAGAAGAGUCCAUAGAGGAAGCCCUAGAUAGCCUUUCUGAAUCAGAAUCAUCGAUUAAGGAUAUAACUUAAUGGCCUAAGAAAUCAUAGACAAGGGGAGAUGGGAUUGAAACAGGAGAUACUCUCGUUCUUGCAACAGAAGAAACACCACUCUUAGAAUCCCUGGCUAUGCGAAUAGGACUAUUACUUAUUUUGAUCAAAAUGCAGAAAUAUAGAAGGUAAAAGCUUGGAGCCAAAAGGGUACCUGGUAAGAAGAAAUUGACGAAAAGUAAGUGUGUUAAGGAGAAAUAGAAGCUUGAACAAAGAGUUGCAACUACUCUAUCAAAUUCUCGCAUGAAGGUAGGAAGAGAAAUGCUUGGGAAUUGAAACUAAAUUUCAAGGAUGGAGGAAAGUUCCAUUUGCACUCAACAACCCAUAUAUAUAGGUGAAUGAGAACAACGACCCUGAUCAACUGCAAAAAGAAGUUACAAAAUCAACUGAUGGAUUUCCCAUUGGAAACGUAAAUAAACUUGAGUGCACUAUAAGCAGCAGCAUCGCCUAACUAGUCCUUUCAAGUCACGUGUUAAAGAGAAGCAGUGAAACGCUUCAAUGAUGGAAUUGCAUUUAAUUUGUUUGUUCCUCACUACACUUUCAACUGACUUUAAGUGUUUCCAUUUCUAAGUUUAAAGCAAACAACAUUCUCAGAGGUUGACCACGAUCGCUAAAGACUUCCUCGUCUUCGUAACGUCUGGCAAGGGGGCAAUUGUUCUGAGCAGCCAAAUGCCCAAAAAGGUAAGGCUCAGCUAAUUGUCAAUUCACUCCAAUUAACUCACAGUAUAAAAGUCAUCUCACGUGAAAUGUAAGAUACAUUAUCUAAUCUCUGUUUUCCAUUACACUCGUCUGAAUUUUGAAUUAGCUUAGAUGUUAAAGUGUUAAGCAUGCAUGUCCACUUUGUGUCGCCAUAUCAGAGAUUAGAUCCAUCAAUUCAAGAUUUCUCAUCACCAGCUUACACAAAACUCUAAUUCUCAGACAUACUAAAACGGUUUGCAAAAUUAUAAAUUAAUCAAAAGUAUAAAAUAUAUAAUAUUAAUAAUAAAAAACCAAAAUUUUAGACAUAUUAACUUAUUAAAUACUUUCUCUAUCUUAUAAUAAGUGUCGCAUUUUAUAAAACUAUUUGUUUCAAAAUAAGUAUAGCUUUUAAUUGUUUCCAAUGUAAUUAUAAUUUUCAUCUUUCAAUUAUACCCUCUAAUUAAUAUUCUCAAUUUAUUAUUCUAUCACUCUUCAUUUAUGAUAAUUCGAAUACACCAAUAGUAAACAAGAAUAGUGUGAUAAAAAUAAUAUUUUCUCUAUUUCAUUUAUUAUAUUUUUUUAAUCGAUAUAAAAUAAUCAAUUUUGACAAUUAUUUUGGGAGAGAUGAAAUAUAUUGAUUUGAUAGUUCUUACAACUAUUUUAAAGUCCUAUACCUGAUAUCUUUAAGGGAGAAACACCUAUAUUCAAAUGAGUUAUAUGACUAACAUUCAAAGUUCAAAUAACCCUUACAAAAUAACAGUGUAGUGGUUGACCAUUUUAACAAGCACAAUUAUAACGAUGCUUAAUAAAAUAGAUGAAUGCGUAUUAAAUAGACGAAUGUAAAAGUGCACUAGAGACAUAAAUUUGGCCAAUUUAUUGGAUUGAAUUGUGUAUUCCUUUUUAUUCAAAAUUAAUUAAUUAAUUAUAUUUAUAACAUUUCAAUAUUUUUUUAUACAAUAUAUAUAUUUAUCUAAUCAUUUAUAAAAUAACUCAUAAAAAUAUGGUAAUAAUUUAAUAUGAAUAUUUUAAUAAAUAAUAUUUUAAUUAUAAAAGAGUAAAAUAAGUAAGUGAAAAUGUAUUCUAAAUUAGUCUGCCUUUAGUUGGCCUUUAGUGGGCUGCUGGACAAUUCGAAACUCGAAAGAGUGCUCAGAGCGGUAACAUAAUCUAAAGAACAUGUCUUCUAUUUGAAAAUCAAACUAACCUUCCUCAAAGAACAUAAAUAAGUGGAAAGUAAAAUACCAAAAAUCUACAUCUAUAUAGAAUUUGAAAAACAACUAAUUUGUGCUUACAGUACCAUUUCCAAGUUCCCCUUUAUUUUGCAACCCUUAACGCCUAACUCUUUGUGAUGCCAUGAAAUAUAAGCUAAUACUGUUUUAACAAUUAAUUAAUUGAGAUUACUGUUUUUUAAUCAUAAACGAUAACAAAUCAAAGAUAUAUUUAGCAGAAAAACAGAAUAUCCAUCAUUAAGUUCAUAUGAUAGAAGAACAUAACAAAUUGCCUCAGUUCAGCUUAAAUAGAUAAAAUACAUCUACACCCAACUAACACUAACGAAACCCUAAAUUGGAUCAUAAAAUCAACCACCGAAACCGUACAGAGUCCUUCCCUGCCUCUUCAGAGCAUAAACAACAUCCAUGGCAGUGACAGUUUUCCUCCUAGCGUGCUCAGUGUAAGUAACGGCAUCACGAAUAACGUUCUCGAGAAAGAUCUUGAGAACACCACGAGUUUCUUCAUAGAUGAGUCCACUGAUUCUCUUGACACCACCUCUUCUCGCCAAACGGCGAAUUGCAGGCUUGGUAAUUCCCUGGAUGUUAUCACGAAGCACUUUUCUGUGCCUCUUUGCUCCUCCCUUUCCCAAACCCUUUCCACCUUUACCGCGACCUGACAUUUUUCUCUUCUUAUAAUUAUCAACUGUGAAAUUUUGAAAAGGAAGAUUGAAAUGUGAAUGAAUGAAUGAUAUUACUCAGGUCGUGUUUAUAUAGGAAGAUCUGAAGAUUAAUGGAAGUGCGGAGAGGAGUUAUAGCCGUUGAUUAUAACCUAAUCGACGGAUGAUGAUAGCGAUCCGUGUCAUCCUCUUUAGAUUGUUUUAUGCUGAUUGCUUAUAAGUGGGCCAUUGUUUGUCACAUCUAGUUAUAUUUAUGAAAAUUCAAUUCAAUUCAAUUUGAUCGUUGAAACUUAAUAGAUUUAAAUUGUUCAUAUGUUUGGAAUUCAAUUGUUUAGGCCAUCAUUGGACGGGUUUUAGUUUUUUAUUUUAUUUUUAUAACUAGUUGUUUGGGCCAAUCUUUUAAUUUGGCAUGAUAAACUUUCAUCAAAUUUUUAAAAUAACAAUAUUGAAUCCGUUCUUGAGUUUUAACCCAAUAAAUUAUUCUUAUUUUCAUAUUUAUAGAAAAUAAAAUAGGUGUCUUUCUACUAUACAGUAGUAGGGUUGAAAACGGUCUAUUAGAAUAAUCCAUGGACAUGGGUUUCUUCAAAUCAAAUUGGUUUCUGUUCCACGAGAGAAUGACCAUAUGAAUCCAAAAGAUGAAGGAAGAUGUUUAUGAUAAGAAAGACAUCAGAUUGAUGAUGUCUUGAAUCUGCAAACAAGCGGAAGGUUCUAGGACUUGAGGUGCAAACAUAGACUCGUCCUAUAAAUCAUCUUAUUUGAGUAUAAAGUGAAGGUAUGACGGUUGGAUAACAUGACGAAUUAAACAUUGACAUUUGUUAUCAUAAUUGGUCUUGAUUAAACCUAAAAAUUGCACACUAAUAAGAACUCUAUAAUAGGAAUGACAUGUGUAAUAACAAGGGGCGCAUUCUUGAAAACCUAUAAAUAUUUUACCAUCUACCUUGAUAAUUCAUUAACUUGAGCGUCGAGAGUUUUUGCAUAUAUCAUCUCAUAACACACUCAUAAACCGAGGAAGAACUCGCUAGACCGAUGAAUCAUUGAGCGUUAUCAUCUUACCGAGUCUCUAACUCAUUAUUGGAAUAUUUUGAAUUGGAUCAAAUCAACGGUGUCGUAUGUGAGUAAUGUUGUAUAAGUCAUUCUCUUUUAUUCAAGACAAGAUGACAUUUUCUUGAAAUAUAAAUGAAUCUAGGGGUGGACAGCGGACUGAUUGGAUGGGUUUGAGUCCAAAAGCGCCACCCAACUCAAUCCACUGGAUCAAUUUUCGUCCAUUUUCGUCUAAAAUAUAUGACUUUUCUAUUAGAUUAAUUAUUUAAUAAUCAAAUAUGGAUUGAUAUAAUUAAUUAUUAAUAAAUUAGUUUAGGGUCAAUUCUUAUAAAAUACUAAUUAUUGAUGAAUUACUUAAUUGUGUUUUGUGUCUGAAUUGACUGUGAUAUGUUGGAUCAUUCAAUUAAGUCCAAUGAGAGUUAUUUGCCCUCAGUCGUUUAGUUAUUUAAGCGUUGCCCCAUUAGACGAUUAACACACAGUGAAAACCUUAAACGACAAUGAGGGUAGUAAUCCUCUCAUAUUCACUCUUCCCGACUAUAACUCUCUCAUUUCGUGGUCUGCAUUCCUUGACUUCGAUAGCCGCCAUUUUGGUCAUAUAGUUUAUAAAAACGUCAAGGAUGAUUUAUCCAAGUUGUCCAAAAUCGGCUUUGUCACUGACUUUCAAGCUCAGUUUGAGGAUCUAUUGAACAAGGAAACCACUAUAUCUUAGCCUUUGUUGGUUAGUUUCUUCAUUACAAGUCUUUAAAAGGUAAGUUUCAACCAUUAAACUACUUGACAAAAAAAAUCCUUUUAUGUAGUUUAAUAAUUAAUUACUGUAUUUCAUUGAUGAAUUUGUGCUCGAACUAUUCACAAGAAAUAUCAUGAAUCUUAUAAUAAAAUUACAAGGUUAAAAAAAUAAAUAAGUUUUAAAAUGUUUUUACUCCUUUAGUGAACCAUAAUAGUAAAAAAAAUAUUAUCUCCUUAUCUUGUACAUUUCAAAACAAAAAUAAAGAUAAUUAAAAUCAAUUUCCUCCCUUCCCCCCACCUUUUUUCCCUUGAACAAAAAUAUAUCUCCCUUUUUCUUAGUUAAACCAUGUUGAUGCAAAAGAGGAAGAAGAUGAAAAUGAUGAAGAUGAGAGAGAGAGAAGAGAUUGAGAGAAACGUUUUUAACUAACUUCUAAUAGAAAAUUGAAAUUAUGUUAUGGAUCAAUUCUCUAUUACAAACUAAAACAACACUUGGUUUAUAUACUAAUCAAAACAAAUACAAAUUAAAACGCAAGUUAAAUUAAACUUAAGUGUAAAUUGAAAUGAAUUACAUCUAACAUCAUCCCUUAAUUCAUAUUUAGUUCAUCAAAAUCAACAACACAAAUAUCAUUCCUCAAAUGAAUAAACUGUUCAGUCUUGAUAGCUUUAGUAAGUACAUUUGUCAACUAUUUUUAAGUGCUACAGUGGACAACUUCAAGCACC
This 23678-nucleotide long non-coding RNA is filed under the name Lathyrus oleraceus (garden pea). RNAcentral describes it as "Pisum sativum (pea) long non-coding RNA (PSAT_LNC009196)". The record is from RNAcentral. Lineage: Eukaryota; Viridiplantae; Streptophyta; Magnoliopsida; Fabales; Fabaceae.